Molecule: ribosomal RNA, 433 nt
Filed under: uncultured bacterium
Lineage: Bacteria
Description: partial 16S ribosomal RNA
Rfam family: Bacterial small subunit ribosomal RNA
Source: RNAcentral
AACGAACGCUGGCGGCAUGCCUAACACAUGCAAGUCGAACGAGACCUUCGGGUCUAGUGGCGCACGGGUGCGUAACGCGUGGGAACCUGCCCUUAGGUUCGGAAUAACUCCCCGAAAGGGGUGCUAAUACCGGAUAAUGUCUUCGGACCAAAGAUUUAUCGCCUUUGGAUGGGCCCGCGUUGGAUUAGCUAGUUGGUAGGGUAAAAGCCUACCAAGGCGACGAUCCAUAGCUGGUCUGAGAGGAUGAUCAGCCACACUGGGACUGAGACACGGCCCAGACUCCUACGGGAGGCAGCAGUGGAGAAUAUUAGACAAUGGGCGAAAGCCUGAUCCAGCAAUGCCGCGUGAGUGAUGAAGGCCUUAGGGUUGUAAAGCUCUUUUACCCGGGAUGAUAAUGACAGUACCGGGAGAAUAAGCUCCGGCUAACUCCGUG